This 907-nucleotide ribosomal RNA is filed under the name uncultured Mycoplasma sp. RNAcentral's name for it is "bacterial SSU rRNA". It matches the Rfam family "Bacterial small subunit ribosomal RNA", at positions 9 to 907 of the family's 1533-position model. Lineage: Bacteria; Bacillati; Mycoplasmatota; Mollicutes; Mycoplasmatales; Mycoplasmataceae. The record is from RNAcentral.
GAGUUUGAUCCUGGCUCAGGAUUAACGCUAGCGGGAUGCCUAAUACAUGCAAGUCGAACGAGGGUAUAAUUUAUUAUGCUCAAGUGGCGAACGGGUGAGUAACACGUAUCCAACAUACCCUUAAGAGAGGAAUAACCAGUUGAAAAACUAGCUAAUGCCUCAUAGGACAUUUGGUCGCAUGAUCGAAUGUUUAAAGUUCCGUUUGGAACGCUUUUGGAUUGGGGUGCGUUGUAUUAGAUAGUUGGUGAGGUAGUGGCUCACCAAGUCGAUGAUGCAUAGCUGUGCUGAGAGGCAGAACAGCCACAAUGGGACUGAGACACGGCCCAUACUCCUACGGGAGGCAGCAGUAGGGAAUUUUCCACAAUGGGCGAAAGCCUGAUGGAGCAAUCCCGCGUGAACGAUGAAGGUCCUACAAGAUUGUAAAGUUCUUUUAUUUGAGACGAAAAACUAAGAUAGGAAAUGAUUUUAGCUUGACUGUAUCAUUUGAAUAAGUAUCGGCUAACUAUGUGCCAGCAGCCGCGGUAAUACAUAGGAUGCAAGCGUUAUCCGGAUUUACUGGGCGUAAAGCGAGCGCAGGCGGAUUUACAAGUCUGGUGUGAAAGACAAUUGCUUAACAAUUGUUUGCAUUGGAAACUGUAAGUCUAGAGUAUAGUAGGGAGUUCUGGAACUCCAUGUGGAGCGGUGGAAUGCGUAGAUAUAUGGAAGAACACCAGUGGCGAAGGCGAGAACUUUGGCUAUAACUGACGCUUAGGCUCGAAAGUGUGGGGAGCAAAUAGGAUUAGAUACCCUAGUAGUCCACACUGUAAACGAUGGUAAUUAGGUGUCGGCACGGUAAUGUGUCGGUGCUACAGUUAACACAUUAAAUUACCCGCCUGGGUAGUACAUUCGCAAGAAUGAAACUCAAACG